RNAcentral lists this long non-coding RNA (4428 nucleotides) under Mus musculus (house mouse). RNAcentral describes it as "long non-coding RNA chr2:6404063-6408491". The record is from RNAcentral. Lineage: Eukaryota; Metazoa; Chordata; Mammalia; Rodentia; Muridae.
UAGUGCCUGUGUCCUCAGUGGCGGGUCAGGGCUGCCUGUUUCAGAACAGGUCCCAGGGGCUGGGCUCAUUAAAUCUUAGCAUUCAUUUGCCUGUCUGCUAUCAGCAUCUCACAGGCCUUGAGAGGCACAAAUAGUAGAGCUUGAGGUCAUCUGGUCUCCAUAGAGAGUUGUAGGCUAGCAGGCCUGAAACCCUCUUCAUCUUACACUAGUAAAGUGAGGACUGUUUGUAUAGUUACUUGUCAGCCCUUUCCUGGGGGACAGAGGGCUCCAGUGCUUUGUUCUUUCACACACUGCACGUGCUUAUUAGAUGACUGUCUCGAAUAUUUGUUCCUGCAUUUGUGAUGCUUGCAUAAAUGUGUGUGUGUGUGUGUUCACAGCAUACAUGUGAGAGUUGGUUCUCUCCUUCCACCAGAUGGGCACUGGGGAUUGAACUCAGGUUGUUAGGUUUGGUGACCUGUGGCUCUGACUCUGCCUGUUAUUUUACCAGGUCUGUGGUCUGAUACCCCCCCCCCCCACAAACACACACAUAAACUUAGACUCAGGCAAAGUAGUCUAAGGUUAGAAACUAGCAUUCUCUAGUGUCCGCCUAUACCGAGUGGCCGAGCUCUGCCGUUGCUAGACACAUGAUAAAGAUCUAUCUGUACAUUGUCAUUGAGUUAGGUCAGGACGAGUUGUUGCCCUGCUGAAGUUUCCACUCUGCAGUGUGCAGCUGAAGCUGUGCUCUUUGGUGCUUAGGAAGUCUAGUGUGCUGAUAUCUGUCUUGGCAGGUGAUGGUGGCUCUGCCCAUCUGUUUUGGUCUAUAGUAGGGCGUUUCCCGUUUAAAAUAGGGACAGUGAUCCUCCCUCCCAAAAGGAUUGAUGUGAUGCUUGCAAAGUAAUUUGGGUUCCCCCAAAUAGGCACUUAAACAAAUAAACAAACACACUCAUUAUAUUUAUCCAGUAGAGAACAAUAUUAAUAAUGGAUUAUAUUAUUUCCUUGAGCUUAUUGAUGUUUUUAAUAAGGAGGAAAGGGUAUAUAAAACUAUGAAUUUUCAUAGCUAAAGCUAUGAAAUGCAGUGCAGUAUUUUGCAUAAUAUAUAAAAUAUGAAAGCCUUCCAUUUUUAAAUUUUUUAUUUUGUUUGUGUGUGCAUAUACAUGCAUAUGUGCACAUGUGCCACUGUGGUGGGCAUGUGGAGGUCAGAGGACAGCUUACAGUGAGCGGUUUGUUCUCUUCUUCCUUCACUGUGUGAGUCCUGAAGGUCAGACUCCAGUCAGGCGUGGUGGAUGGCCAGUGUUUUACCCUCCGCCAUCUGGCCAGUCCUCCUUUAUUUCUUCUGAAGAACGCCUUCGUUUUACCCUGCAUCCAGGCUUACUGCUAAGUGACCGCACAUUGCAGUGGCCAGGUCUCCUGUUCUUCUUAUCCUCUCCUGACCUCUGCUGGUGAGAUCCAGGCAUGGGUGACUCCCAGCAGCAUUUACUCACACGUCCUUACUGUAGGACAUGGGAGGACCAAAAUGUGUACUACUGUCAUGCUUUGCACACUAUGGAGCACCUCAGAUGUUGGAGUUUCUCCUCAGUGGACAGUUGUCACAGACCUGCUACUUAGUAGCAGAUUGAGUGCCCAGCUGAAUUUCUUGAUUAAUUAUUUAUUUACAUCCCAAAUGCUGCCCCAUCCCCUUCCCCCCUUCCCCUUUACUUCUGAGAGGGUGGCCCCUGGUUUAUUUCCCCACCCUGGGGCAUCAAGUCUCUGGGUUAGGCACAUCCUUCCCCACUGACACAGGACAAGGCAGUCCUCUGCUACAUGUGUAGUACUAGGGGCCUCAGUCCAGCCUGGGUAUGGUUGGUGGCUUAGUCUCGUAGAGCUCCCUUAGAUCCGGGUUAGUUGACUCUGUUGGGGUUCCUAUCCCUUUCAGGGUCUUCAAUCCUCCGUUUUCCCAAGGGUCCCUGACCUCUGUCCUAUGUGUGGCUGUGGGUCUCUGCAUCUGUUUCAGUCAGCUGCUGGGUGGAGCCUCUCAGAGGGCAUUAUGCUAGGUUUCUGUCUGUAAGCAUAACAGAAUAUCAUUAAUAGUAUCAGGGAUUGCUGCUUGCCCAUGGGAUGGGUCUCAAGUUGGGGCAGUUAAAUGGUUGGCCAUUCCUUCUGUUUCUCCUUCAUCUUUGUCCUUGCAUUUCUUUUAGACAGGACAAAUUUUGGGUUGAAAUUUUUAUGGGUGAGUGGGGUCCUGCCUGGCUACAGGAGGUGGCCUCUUCAGGUUCCGUGUCUGCACUGUUAGGCAUCUUGAGGCCAAAUCAAAGGUUCACACGACUGUUUGGGGAGCUGGAGCAGCUCACAAAAGUGCCGCACUUACUAGAUCCAUUUACUAAAAACAGUCCUCUGAGGAGCAGCCAAAUGGAAUACAUGUGCAUGGGGUUGGAACCAAGGGACAGAGGUUCCUUGCCCUCCUUGAGUAUGAGAAUCUCUUGAGCACUUCAGGUGAUCACCAACCGGGAAGUUGCUCAACUCCACAGCAGAGGACUAUUAAUGGAGGGUCUAUAACUUAGCUAUGGUCAGUGUGUGAGACCUGAGUGCAGUCUUCAGCGUCAUCAUAGACCACUCACAGCAGAGAUGAACCCUGAGACUCCAGUCACUUUCGCCUUUUUUAUUCAGAUUCAGACCCCAGCCAACCCCAGUUAAUGUAAUCCAGAACUCCCUCACAAUUAUGCUCUGAGCUUUGUCUGUAGUGCUCAACUAACAUAGAAGUCUAAACUACACUAGAGAUUAUCCAAGCUAUAAUUUCUUUCCUUUUUCUUUUUUAAAAAAGAAUUAUUUAUUAAUUUUAUGAAUAUGAGCACACUGUAGCUGUCUUUAGAUGCACCAGAAAAAGGCAUCAGAUCCCAUUACAGAUGGUUGUAAGCCACCAUGUGGUUGCUGGGAAUUGAACUCGGAACCUCUGGAAGCCAGUGCUCUUAACCACUGAGCCAUCUCUCCAGCCCUGGUAUAUUUUCUUAUAUGUAUAGAAGAAAGAAAAUCAUGCUUAAUGGUUCUGAAAAUGGUGUGUAUAUGUCUUAUUCUUUCAGGAUACAUAACAUUUAAACUAAUUUAUGGCAAACAUUAAUAUACAAAAUGUAUCUUAGAAAAGAAUGACUACUUCCUGAAGUGAUUUAUUGGUAAUUCAUAGUAGUAAAAGUGGAAGUCAGAGGGCCGCCUGGCUGAGUGUGUGACCCUUUUUGCUGGCUUGUGGAUUUGGAUGUUUGCUGUUGGUAGAGAAGGGGCUUCUGCUUCAGGGGGUCAGAGGACGAUGAGGAACAACAACAACACAGCGAAUGGUGACACAGAACAGUCUCUGGCUCUUUACAGUUUGGCCUUCUCUAAAGUCACAUUAGUAAAACAUUAAUUAGAUUUCAGUGCCCCACUGAGUUGUAAAAUUAAACGUAUUUCUGGACCUGUCUGCAUCAUUUCAUUACUGAUAAUGCAAUAAGGGCUGUUUAGCCUUUUGAAAAAGGGAAUUAACAUCUUUUGCUCACAAGUGAUUUUUUUUUAAUUACAAAAACUUAUAAAAACUUUAAAGAGUUAGAAAGUAAUUACAGAGUUUUAUGACUAUACCUAAAGGUAAGUUCCAUAAAAAACAUUCUCAUUGGUGAGAAUCUUUUCCUAAAUUCAGGAUUUUCCUUGGGGAAUGUAUGCUUUUAGAUCUAAAAUUAUUGGUGGUGGGUGUGCCAUCUGCCAGGGUACUGCCUGCCUUUUUGAGGCUGGAGUGGGACCAGUCAGUGAGGAGCCAUAGUUUUUAUCCAGGGAACAGGACUGCCUGUGUUAGAAGAAAGGGCGGCAGCUGGAGACAGGAGAGGGUGACCACAGAGCACAGGAGAACCUGCCUGCCCUGAGUGCCUCUGCCCUUGAGACUUGCCCUGCAGGCUCUAUCUGCAGCCUCACUUACAGGCCUGCCCCAGAGGCUGACAGGAGCACACACCCAGAUUGUAAGCUGAUCUGUAGAGCUGUUGAUUUUCCUGGGUGGUUUGCUCUUUUAUUGCUUUUAUCAUAGUUAUUACACUCCCAGGCCUAAAUACUUAGAGAAAAUGUAUUUCCCUUCCUGGAACCCAGAAAGAAAGGAACAAAGCCCUUUCCGUGGUAACUUGCCUGCACAUCCCCGUGGUAGUCUUGUUCCUUCUUAAAGCUCUUGGGAACUUGUGUCCGCUCCUUAGAUAGUGCCUCAUGGUUUUGGAAACACGCGUGUCCCUCCCACAUCACCAGACAAAGCCCAUCAUAAUCUUUGAGCUCCUCAGGUGGGGUCCUUUAUAACUUUUUCACGUGACCUUGCCACCAGCUCUAUUUCAUUUCAGCCCCUGCCUUGGCAUGUGUCUCUCUGUGUUGGCACAUGAAGAGUCUCAGGGUGACAACUGUGACUUACUUUUGUACAUUGUUUCUCUACCAUGGAGCUAAUUACAUAUUAAUUACACAGUUACUAAAUUGAAUUCU